UGGAUGCCUUGGCAGCUAGAGGCGAUGAAGGACGUGGUAGGCCACGAAAGUCUUCGGGGAGCAGUCAAACAUGCUUUGAUCCGGAGGUGUCCGAAUGGGGAAACCCAACCAGCUUGCUGGUUAUCGUUAACUGAAUUCAUAGGUUAACGAGGCAAACGCGGAGAACUGAAACAUCUAAGUACCCCGAGGAACAGAAAUCAACCGAGAUUCCCUUAGUAGCGGCGAGCGAACGGGGAGUAGCCGAUGAUGAAGGUAGUAGUGGAACACUCUGGAAAGUGUGGCCAUAGUGGGUGAUAGCCCCGUACACGAAGCUGCUUUUGUCACAUAUCAAGUAGGACGGGACACGUGAUAUCUUGUCUGAAGAUGGGGGGACCAUCCUCCAAGGCUAAAUACUC
Molecule: ribosomal RNA, 395 nt
Filed under: Scrippsiella trochoidea
Lineage: Eukaryota; Dinophyceae; Peridiniales; Peridiniaceae
Description: partial Bacterial large subunit ribosomal RNA
Rfam family: Bacterial large subunit ribosomal RNA
Source: RNAcentral